RNAcentral lists this unclassified non-coding RNA (22 nucleotides) under Mus musculus (house mouse). RNAcentral describes it as "oocyte_clustered_small_RNA3434". The record is from RNAcentral. Lineage: Eukaryota; Metazoa; Chordata; Mammalia; Rodentia; Muridae.
UGGAGCAUCUUUGGGAUUGGAG